This 341-nucleotide ribosomal RNA is filed under the name uncultured bacterium. RNAcentral's name for it is "bacterial SSU rRNA". It matches the Rfam family "Bacterial small subunit ribosomal RNA", at positions 173 to 507 of the family's 1533-position model. The record is from RNAcentral.
AUAGUAUACAGAUUCAGCAUUGGGACUGGUAUUAAACAUUUAUGGGUAAGAGAUGGGGCAUGCGUUCUAUUAGUUAGUUGGAGUGGUAACGGUCACCCCAAGACAGCGAUAGAUAGGGGCCCUGAGAGGGGGAUCCCCCACACUGGUACUGAGACACGGACCACGACUCCUACGGGAGGCAGCAGUGAGGAAUAUUGGACAAUGGGCGAGAGCCUCGAUCCAGCCAUGCCGCGUGCAGGAAGACGGCCCUAUGGGUUGUAAACUGCUUUUGUACGGGAAGAAACACCCCCUCGUGAGGGGGCUUGACGGUACCGUAAGAAUAAGGAUCGGCUAACUCCGUG